This 253-nucleotide ribosomal RNA is filed under the name uncultured bacterium. Its description in RNAcentral is "partial 16S ribosomal RNA". It matches the Rfam family "Bacterial small subunit ribosomal RNA", at positions 524 to 776 of the family's 1533-position model. The record is from RNAcentral.
GACGAGGGGUCCAAGCGUUGUUCGGAAUCAUUGGGCGUAAAGCGGGUGUAGGUGGCUCUAUAAGUCAGGGGUGAAAUCCCGAGGCUCAACCUCGGAACUGCCUUUGAUACUGGGGAUCUCGAGUCCGGGAGAGGUGAGUGGAACUGCGAGUGUAGAGGUGAAAUUCGUAGAUAUUCGCAAGAACACCAGUGGCGAAGGCGGCUCACUGGCCCGGAACUGACGCUGAGGUGCGAAAGCGUGGGGAGCAAACAGG